CCAGGGAGUGUUCCUUUAAUAACCUUUAGAAGCGAGCAUGCAGGAAGGAAUGCACAGACGCUCCAGGCGAUGGAUUCGGGACAGGCCCACACUCGCUUUAGAAGAGCACAGUGUGUAUUACCUAGGGAGGACACCAUUCAACAAGUGCAGCAUUGCAGCACAUAUAAUAAGCAGCUACACACAACCAGAGCACAAUUAGCCAGCAGCACAGGAUGGCCUCUAGGCCUUUACAUCAGUAUGG
Non-coding RNA from Pelobates cultripes (western spadefoot toad), 241 nucleotides. NCBI's taxonomy places the organism in Eukaryota, Metazoa, Chordata, Amphibia, Anura, Pelobatidae. The record is from the annotation of a GenBank genome assembly.